UACGGAGGAUCCGAGCGUUAUCCGGAUUUAUUGGGUUUAAAGGGUGCGUAGGUGGAUUGGUAAGUCGGUGGUGAAAGUUUGCAGCUUAACUGUAAAAUUGCCGUUGAAACUGCCGGUCUUGAGUGCAAAUGAGGUAGGCGGAAUGCGUCGUGUAGCGGUGAAAUGCUUAGAUAUGACGCAGAACUCCGAUUGCGAAGGCAGCUUACUGGGAUGCAACUGACGCUGAGGCACGAAAGCGUGGGUAUCAAACAGGAUUAGAUACU
Molecule: ribosomal RNA, 263 nt
Filed under: uncultured prokaryote
Description: partial 16S ribosomal RNA
Rfam family: Bacterial small subunit ribosomal RNA
Source: RNAcentral